Molecule: ribosomal RNA, 499 nt
Filed under: uncultured bacterium
Lineage: Bacteria
Description: partial 16S ribosomal RNA
Rfam family: Bacterial small subunit ribosomal RNA
Source: RNAcentral
GACGAACGCUGGCGGCGUGCCUAAUACAUGCAAGUCGAGCGGACUUUCAAGAAGCUUGCUUUUUGAAAGUUAGCGGCGGACGGGUGAGUAACACGUGGGCAACCUGCCUGCAAGACGGGGAUAACUCCGGGAAACCGGGGCUAAUACCGGAUAAUAUCUUCCUUCGCAUGAAGGAAGGUUGAAAGGCGGCGCAAGCUGCCGCUUGCAGAUGGGCCCGCGGCGCAUUAGCUAGUUGGUGAGGUAACGGCUCACCAAGGCGAAGAUGCGUAGCCGACCUGAGAGGGUGAACGGCCACAAUGGGACGGAGAACCGGCCCAGACUACUAAGGGAGGCAGCAGUAGGGAAACGUUCGAAAUGGGGGAAAGGCUGACGGGGCAAAGCCGGGUGAGAGAAGAAAGUCUUCGGAUCGUAAAGCUCCGUUGUCAGGGAAGAACAAGCACCGUUCGAACAGGGCGGUACCUUGACGGUACCUGACCAGAAAGCCACGGCUAACUACGUG